RNAcentral lists this ribosomal RNA (945 nucleotides) under uncultured archaeon. RNAcentral describes it as "bacterial SSU rRNA". It matches the Rfam family "Archaeal small subunit ribosomal RNA", at positions 1 to 940 of the family's 1478-position model. The record is from RNAcentral.
GGCCGCGGGAAUUCGAUUUCUGGUUGAUCCUGCCAGACCCGACUGCUAUCAGAGUGGGACUAAGCCAUGCGAGUCAACGUAGCAAUGCGUGGCGAACGGCUCAGUAACACGUAGUCAACAUGCCCAGGGGACGUGGAUAACCUCGGGAAACUGAGAUUAAACCGCGAUAGGUCAAGAUUUCUGGAAUGGAUCGUGUCUUAAACCUACAUGGCCCCUGGAUUGGACUGCGGCCGAUCAGGCUGUUGGUGAGGUAAUGGCCCACCAAACCUAUAACCGGUACGGGCUCUGAGAGGAGAAGCCCGGAGAUGGGCACUGAGACAAGGGCCCAGGCCCUAUGGGGCGCAGCAGGCGCGAAACCUCUGCAAUGGGCGAAAGCCUGACAGGGUUACUCUGAGUGAUUUCCGCUAAGGAGAUCUUUUGGCAGCUCUAAAAAUGGUGCAGAAUAAGGGGUGGGCAAGUCUGGUGUCAGCCGCCGCGGUAAUACCAGCACCCCGAGUGGUCGGGACGAUUAUUGGGCCUAAAGCAUCCGUAGCCGGUCAUGCAAGUCUUCCGUUAAAUCCAGCCGCUCAACGGAUGGGCUGCGGAGGAUACUACAGGACUAGGAGGCGGGAGAGGCACGCGGUACUUAGUGGGUAGGGGUAAAAUCCUUUGAUCCAUUGAAGACCACCAGUGGCGAAGGCGGCUUGCCAGAACGCGCUCGACGGUGAGGGAUGAAAGCUGGGGGAGCAAACCGGAUUAGAUACCCGGGUAGUCCCAGCUGUAAACGAUGCAGACUCGGUGAUGGGAUGGCCUCGAGCUAUCCCAGUGCCGCAGGGAAGCCGUUAAGUCUGCCGCCUGGGGAGUACGGUCGCAAGACUGAAACUUAAAGGAAUUGGCGGGGGAGCACCACAAGGGGUGAAGCCUGCGGUUCAAUUGGAUUCAACGCCGGAAAUCACUAGUGAAUUC